CUCGGGGCCGCGCUCGGGGCCGCGCUCGGGGCCGGCGCGGCGCUGCCUGCGCGGGGCCCGGCGGCGCCGGGGCCGCCCCGCCGACCCUCGGUAGCGCCCGGCGGCCGCGGAUGAGCCGCUCCGCCCCGGCUGCCUGCGAAGGAAGAAAAGUUUGGGGGCGACUUAGGGCCGCGGGAGCGCCCGAGGAGGAGGAUGCGCGGUUUCCCCGGCUGAUCGGGAAGGAAGGAUGACCGAGGGAGGAUGUGCACCAGCAGCCAGAUCAUCGGGAGCCUCCUGGUGCUCUCCGUGCUGGAGAUAGGGUUAGGGGUGUCCAGCGUGGCCGUGGGGGCGGUCAGUUUCAGCCUGGUCCUCACAGAGCAUAAACCUCAGCUGGGAGACUCUUCUCCGGUAUGGAGCGGGGUGUGUUUCCUGCUUUGCGGCGUGUGUGGAAUAUUGUGCGCCAAAAAAAAAUCUGGACUUGUUAUGAUACUUUUUUCUGCCUGUUGCAUCUGUGGACUAAUAGGAGGAAUCUUAAAUUUUCAAUUUCUUCGUGCUCUGACAAAGAAGUCAUCUGCUCUCUAUUCUUUACAUCUUGCCUCCAUGUCUCUUGCAUGCAUUGGAAUUGGUGGUUGCACCCUUUCUUCAUGGCUCACUUGUCGGCUAGCCAGCUAUGAACAAAGGCGAAUGUUCUCCGAAAGGGAACAUUCACUGCAUCACUCCCAUGAAAUGGCAGAAAAAAGAUUGAGGGGUAUUGAAAUAACCGACCUGCCCAGCUGCCCGGUGAUUCCCCCGACACCAGAGUUACCUCCAAGGUACGCUGAACACUAGGGAGCGACCAUGUUGUUAUGUCACUUCAGGAAGGGCCACCUCUACGAGGAAGUCAUAGCUUCAGCUAAUCAAAGUUGGCUGAUGCUGUGAUGUUACUCUGAGGCAGGAAUGGUGCUUCCAGGUAGUGACAUAACUCUACGUGGUGAACGCUGCAAUCUGGAAGAAAUUACAGACAACCUAAGCAAUGGUGGCCCACAUUUGAUUUAUAAUGGAAGUGUAUAUUAAGACAUUUUUAAAAGUUCCAUGGAAGGAAGUGGUUUUAGAAUUUUCUUCAGGAAAACAAAUAGACUCCAAGAAAUUAAGAAAAUGAAACUAUGCUUUUAUGGCUCAAAUGAAACUUAGCUUUUAUGGCUCAAAUGUCACAACUGCAGACCAGCACAGUUGCAAUUCCCUUUUAGAAACAUGUUCAAAAUUUAUCUCCAAAACAUUUUGCGGAUAUACAAUAUUUAUUCACUUCCUGGCUACUCUCUUUCAGUUUUUUGUCUGAAUAAUCUUUCUGAAUUGUGAUAGUAUUUGAAAUAGACUUCGCAAGACUCUUAUUCUCAUGAAGACUCAAAAAUCAGAAAAAAAAAUAAACUGAACUGCAUUUAGCCCACUCAAAGGAGAAGGCAGAGGAAGAAUGGCUCAGGGGAAUCUUUUUCUCCUCUCCACUUAGCAGCAUCUGGUUUAAUAUGAUGGCUUCAGAUCAUGGCAUGGUACAGCAACACAUCUGCACAGUCCCUCUCCUCACAUUUUGAAUGCAUCCUGCCUCGGUUUUCCCAGUAGACCAUAUCAAAAUAGAGUGCAAACUCCUCUUCCAAAAAGCUCCCAUUUCACAUCCAGAGUGUAAAUGAACAGUGUGCUGAAAACAACACCGAUGUCUUUGUUUUGAAAGACAGAAUGCGCUAAGAAUGCCAUAAAUCAAAACCUCAAUAAUGCCUUGUUGUAAAGAUAUUGUAAAUAUUUCCAAUUUGUGAAUGAAGUAUAUUUCGUAAUUUGUUCAUAAAAGAUGACAAAUAAAAGGAAAUCUAAACCAGA
Passer domesticus (house sparrow) is the source of this 1824-nucleotide RNA transcript. It is a transcript of the gene named transmembrane protein 196, with no coding region annotated. The transcript is spliced from 5 exons. Lineage: Eukaryota; Metazoa; Chordata; Aves; Passeriformes; Passeridae. The record is from RefSeq and is a predicted model, not a curated record.